RNAcentral lists this ribosomal RNA (484 nucleotides) under uncultured bacterium. RNAcentral's name for it is "partial 16S ribosomal RNA". It matches the Rfam family "Bacterial small subunit ribosomal RNA", at positions 30 to 507 of the family's 1533-position model. The record is from RNAcentral.
AUUGAACGCUGGCGGCAGGCCUAACACAUGCAAGUCGAGCGGCUGAAGGGAGCUUGCUCCUUGAUUCAGCUGCGGACGGGUGCGUAAGGCCUAAGCAUCUGCCUGGUUGUGGUGGCUAACGUCCGGAACCGGGCGCUAAUACCGCAUACAUCCUGAGCGCGUAGGUGGGGGAUCUUCGGCCCUCACGCUAUAAAAUCAGCCUAGGUCGGAUUAGCUUGUCGUUGGGGUAAUGGCCUACCAAGGCCACGAUACGGCACGGGUCUGAGAGGAUGAUCAGUAACACUGGAACUGAGACAAGGUCCAGACUCCUACGGGAGGCAGCAGAGGAGAAUAUUGGACUAUGGGAGAAAGCAUGACCCAGCCCUGCCGAGUGUGUGAAAAAGGGCUUCGGAUUGUGAAGGUCUUUAAGUUGGGAGGAAGGACAGUAAGUUAAACGCGUGGCGUCUUGAAGGUACCAAAUGAAUAAGCACCGGCUAACUUCGUG